UGUUUUCAGUUGAAGGUAUGCCUGUAUC
This 28-nucleotide non-coding RNA is filed under the name Mus musculus (house mouse). Lineage: Eukaryota; Metazoa; Chordata; Mammalia; Rodentia; Muridae. The record is from RNAcentral.